UAGCGGCGGACGGGUGAGUAACGCGUGGGCAACCUGCCUCACACUGGGGGAUAAUACAGGGAAACUUGUGCUAAUACCGCAUAAGCGCACAGAAGGACAUCCUUUUAUGAUCAAAGGAGUAAUCCGGUGAUAGAUGGACCCGCGUCUGAUUAGCUAGUAGGUGAGGUAAUGGACCACCAAGGCGACGAUUGGUAGCCGAACUGAGAAGUUGAUCGGCCACAUUGGGACUGAGACACGGCCCAAACUCCUACGGGAGGCAGCAGUGGGGAAUAUUGCACAAUGGGGGAAACCCUGACAGAGCAACGCCGCGUGAAGGAUGAAGGAUCUUGGUCUGUAAACUUCUUUAAUCAGGGACGAUGGUCUGACGGUACCAUUAAAGGAAGCCACGGCUAACUACGUGCCAGCAGCCGCGGUAAUACGUAGGUGGCAAACGUUAUCCGGAAUUAUUGGGCGUAAAGCGCGCGUAGGCGGUUUGCUAAGUCAAAAGUGAAAACUCCAGGCUCAACUUGGAGACUGCUUCUGAAACUGGUAGACUUGAGUGCAAGAGAGGGAAGUGGAAUUCCUAGUGUAGCGGUGAAAUGCGUAGAUAUUAGGAGGAACACCAGUGGCGAAGGCGACUUCCUGGCUUGUAACUGACACUGAGGCGCGAAAGCGUGGGGAUCAAACAGGAUUAGAUACCCUGGUAGUCCACGCCGUAAACGAUGAGUGCUAGGUGUCGGGGGUAUCGACCCCCUCGGUGCCACAGCUAACGCAAUAAGCACUCCGCCUGGGGAGUACGGUCGCAAGAUUAAAACUCAAAGGAAUUGACGGGGGCCCGCACAAGCAGCGGAGCAUGUGGUUUAAUUCGACGCAACGCGAAGAACCUUACCAAGGCUUGACAUGCAGAUGAAUAAGCAAGAGAUUGCUUAGUCCUUCGGGACACCUGUGCAGGUGGUGCAUGGUUGUCGUCAGCUCGUGUCGUGAGAUGUUGGGUUAAGUCCCGCAACGAGCGCAACCCCUGUUGUUAGUUGCCAUCAUUUAGUUGGGCACUCUAGCGAGACUGCCGGUGACAAAUCGGAGGAAGGUGGGGACGACGUCAAAUCAUCAUGCCCCUUAUGUCCUGGGCUACACACGUACUACAAUGGCUAUAACAGCAGGGAGCUAAGGAGCAAUCCGGAGCGAAUCCUCAAAAAUAGUCCCAGUUCAGAUUGUGGGCUGCAACCCGCCCACAUGAAGUCGGAAUCGCUAGUAAUCGCAGGUCAGCAUGCCGCGGUGAAUACGUUCCCGGGCCUUGUACACACCGCCCGUCACACCACGAAAGUCGGCAACACCCGAAGCCGGUAGUUUAAC
RNAcentral lists this ribosomal RNA (1329 nucleotides) under uncultured bacterium. Its description in RNAcentral is "16S ribosomal RNA". It matches the Rfam family "Bacterial small subunit ribosomal RNA", at positions 93 to 1439 of the family's 1533-position model. The record is from RNAcentral.